UUAAAUGUAUUUAUAAAGGUUACUCGGGAACACGUGUAUUUGUUUACUUUUAACACGUGUGUUUAAAUCAAAACAUGUUUAUGUUUAAUUUGAUUGGACCAUCAGUAAGUUAUUACCGGUUUAAGUUAUAUCAAUCAUGAUAACUUCAUGCUAGAAUUUUAGCGCUAAAAUUAUAAUAAGAUAUCUAGAAUUGUCAUUCGAGGUUCGCCUAUCCGACAGAAAGGUUCGUUUUUUCUUAAAUCGCCACUUGGUAAAAUGUCCGAAUCUUCUCCACGUCUGGAAUUGAAUGAAGACAUACUACUCGAAGGAGAUAAUAGUUUACCGCCACCUAAUAUUCAUAAAGCAGCUGAUAAGUCGUCUGAUUUGGUAGAUACUGUAGAGCUUUUUAAGACAAUUUUAGACAGCAAGUUAGGUGAGUUGAAAUCUGAACUCAUACAAGAACAAGAUUGCCUUAAGAGAAAAAUUAAGGAGGACGUCACUCUAAAAUUUAAGGGGGAAGGAAACAGAAUUCAGUACACCUUUAACGAGGAAUUAUUAGACACUGUUAAUAAACUUUCAAAAUUCAUCCCUAACUCCAAUACUCAAGCAUAUAGAUUAGUUCUUGACAUAACUGAUAAGAUCAAAAGCCGUAAUAAGAAAAUACGCAUAGCUGAUGCUUCCCCUGCUGGUUGGGGAACCGUUAGGGAAUACGAAUCCAAUGCCGUGGCUUCAGAUUCUGAAGAUGAGAGAAAGAUACGACAAGCUGAGACCAGAGCUAUCCGUACCUCCAAGGAGAAGUCAAAAUCUCGCCAGCAACCUUACCCAAAAAAUCCGCCUCGUCAACAACCUGCGGAAUCUUAUGGUAACCCUGCUUACGCUCAGCAUUAUCAACGUAAUCAGCAACAGCCCUUUCGUGGGAGCUUCGCAAGGCGUGAGCCUUGCUCAAUCGACACGUGCCACUACUGCAAGCAACAAGGCCACUGGAGAAAAAACUGUCCUCUUCUCGCCAGUCUCAGGUCAUCCAACAGCAACUCCACAACCUACCAGAAGUAGUAAAGUAGGGCCUGAACGUCACUCUCCAGUCAUUGUGAAUGAUAAGUAUUUAGACACUAUUAAUGACCAAUUUUCUACAUGUUUUGUUGAUAACGAUUAUAUAGAAUCUUUUUUAGAUCAAGUUCAAUAUUUUGAAAAUUGUCAGUCAUAUGAUAAAUUUAAAGGGGUGAAAGGUAGAUUAGCUUGUCAUGUAAAGUAUUGGGAAAAUAUAGGUGCUUGUCCUUUUGUGCUUGAUACAAUAAAAAAUGGUUAUGUUAUUCCAUUUAUAGAUACACCUUUUAAAAUGUACCACAGAAAUAAUAGAUCAGCACGGCAGAAUACUGAAUUUGUCACAAAGUCAAUUGAAGAUUUAGUUCAAAUAGGUUGCGUAAUUAAAGUGCCUUUUCAACCAUAUGUGGUAAAUCCAUUGAGUGUUGCUACUCAAAAGUCCGGUAAGAAACGACUUAUUUUAGAUAUGAGUCAAUUGAAUAAACACAUAAAGCGCGAAAAAAUAAAAUUUGAGGAUUGGAAGUUAGCUAUACAAUAUUUUGACAAAGAUAUGUAUCUGUUUAAGUUUGAUUUAAAAUCUGGUUAUUUUCACUUAGACAUAUGCUCACAGCAACAGACUUUCUUAGGUUUUCAGUGGGAAGGUCAAUUUUAUUGCUAUACUGUUUUAGCUUUCGGAAUUACUACCGGUCCGUACAUUUUUACUAAAUGUUUGAGGCCACUAGUAAAAUUUUGGCGUGGAAACGGUAUAAAAGUUGUUUUGUAUUUAGAUGAUGGAUUUGGCAUGAGUCCAGAUGAAAAUACAUGUAAUGAGCAAUCGUCCUUCGUAAAAAGGUCUUUGAUUGAUGCUGGUUUCCUUAUUAACGAGGAGAAGUCUGUUUUUAAACCUGUUACCGAGUUAGAAUGGUUGGGAAUAGUUUGGAACUCGAAAGAAUACAAAUUAUCUAUUACUCAACGUCGAGUUGACGAUUUGAUUUUCUCAUUGAAUGUAAUUUUGGCUAAAUUUCCCUAUGUUACAGCUAGAUCUUUAGCUCAGGUUGUAGGUAGAAUUAUUUCUAUGACUCCCGUAAUCGGAAAUGUGGCUAGAAUUAUGUCAAAGUUCUGUUACAUGGAAAUUGAAAGUAGAAUUGGGUGGGAUAUUCCCAUUACAGGGUACAAACCCGUCGAGGUUUUAUCAGAGUUAAAGUUCUGGUUAGAAAAUGUCACCAUGAUUAACUAUCGUAAUUUAUGUCAUUACAGUAAAUCUUCUGUUGUCAUAUACUCAGAUGCUAGUAAUAUUGCCGCUGGUGCAUACACCGUUGAAUUAGAAAAUAAGAUUUUCCAUAAGAUGUGGACAUGUAGUGAAACGGUACAAAGCUCCACAUGGAGAGAGCUGAAAGCUAUAGAGUUGGCCCUUUUUUCUUUUAAGAAUAGUUUCACAGGAAAAACUAUAAAGUGGUUUACUGACAAUCAAAAUUGUGUCAAAAUUGUUAAUUCGGGAAGUAUGAAAGAAAAUCUUCAUGUUAUAGCAAAAUCUAUUUUUUCAUUUUGCAUUCAAAAAGGAAUAUCAAUUGACAUUCAAUGGAUUCCCAGAAAAGAAAAUGAAAAGGCUGAUUAUAUCAGCAAAAUGGUUGAUUUCGAGGACUGGGGAGUCACACAUAUAUUUUUCAAUUUUUUAAAUGAUAUGUGGGGUCCUUAUUCGAUUGACAGGUUUGCAAGUGUCGAAAAUAGAAAAGUUAUGAGAUUUAACUCCUUAUUUUGGCAACCUGAUUCUGAAGCAGUUGAUGCAUUUUCUCAAGUUUGGACCAAUGAAAAUAAUUGGCUAGUUCCACCAAUUAAUCUUGUGAUACGAUCGAUUAAACACAUUAUAGCUUGUAAAGCUCGAGGCACGUUAGUUGUGCCUAAGUGGAUUUCUGCUGCAUUCUGGCCUUUGAUAUUCGAUAAACAUCUGAUUUAUCAAGAUUACGUAAAAGAUGUUAUUGUGUUUAAAAAUACUGAUGGUAUUUAUAAGCAAGGUUCGAAUAAGAAUACGAUAUUCGGAAUUGAACCGUUUGGUUCGCCAGUUUUGGCUGUUUUGCUAGAUGCAUCUUAGACAUGGCCCUAAUAUAUAUAGAUAUAUUUUAGCAGGCAUGGUCUGUUUGUGACAUGGCCCUAAUAUAUAUAUAGAUAUAUUGUAGCAGUCAUGGUCUGUUUGUGACAUGGCCCUAGUAUAUGUAUAUUGUAGCAGGCAUGGGUGUUUAUGUUGACAUGGCCCUAGUAUCGGUAAUGAUAUUGUAGCAGGCUUGGUUUUUUAUUUGACAUGGCCCUAGUAUCUAUAAUGAUAUUUUAGCAGGCAUGGUAAUUUGUUUUACAGUUUAUGGCCCUAGUAUCUAUAAAGAUAUUGUAGCUGGCGUUGAAAUAUUUGAAUAUAUAUUAUAUUUUACUGUGUAUAGAAAUCUGAAAUAUGCUAAUAAUUCGUCCUCUGUAUAUGUAUAUAAAAUGUUAUUGCAAUUUUACGUUUUUCAGAUAUUUUUUCAGUAGGACAUUGGUCAGACUUUAAUUCACAAGUUGCCUCUAAUAAUGAUCUCAGCAGUUUGUUCAAACAGUUACCAGAAUUCCUUCUUUCGUCCAAGGCUGCGAGUACUCAGAAGAAAUAUAGAUAUGCCUUCAAUUCAUGGUAUUGUGUUUAUAUGUGAUGGCAGCGGUCGAUGACAGCAAAUUGGACAUUUGUUUAUUGUUUAUAAUAAAAAUAAGCUUUCUGUGCUGUCGGGGCGAGCUGAUAACCGAAGCUUUCUGUGCUGUCGGGGCGAGCUGAUAACCAAAAACUGUGUUGAGUUUUUACUUUGUAAAUGCUUUAUGUUCGUUUGAAGUAUUGAAUAAGAACAUAA
RNA transcript from Mytilus californianus (California mussel), 3863 nucleotides. RefSeq lists it as uncharacterized. Lineage: Eukaryota; Metazoa; Mollusca; Bivalvia; Mytilida; Mytilidae. The transcript is spliced from 2 exons. The record is from RefSeq and is a predicted model, not a curated record.